RNAcentral lists this ribosomal RNA (548 nucleotides) under uncultured bacterium. Its description in RNAcentral is "partial 16S ribosomal RNA". It matches the Rfam family "Bacterial small subunit ribosomal RNA", at positions 355 to 893 of the family's 1533-position model. The record is from RNAcentral.
UAGGGAAUCUUCCACAAUGGACGCAAGUCUGAUGGAGCAACGCCGCGUGAGUGAAGAAGGUUUUCGGACCGUAAAGCUCUGUUGUUGGUGAAGAAGGAUAGAGGUAGUAACUGGCCUUUAUUUGACGGUAAUCAACCAGAAAGUCACGGCUAACUACGUGCCAGCAGCCGCGGUAAUACGUAGGUGGCAAGCGUUGUCCGGAUUUAUUGGGCGUAAAAGCGAGCGCAGGCGGAAGAAUAAGUCUGAUGUGAAAGCCCUCGGCUUAACCGAGGAAUUGCAUCGGAAACUGUUUUCUUGAGUGCAGAAGAGGAGAGUAGAACUCCAUGUGUAGCGGUGGAAUGCGUAGAUAUAUGGAAGAAUACCAGUGGCGAAGGCGGCUCUCUGGUCUGCAACUGACGCUGAGGCUCGAAAGCAUGGGUAGCGAACAGGAUUAGAUACCCUGGUAGUCCAUGCCGUAAACGAUGAGUGCUAAGUGUUGGGAGGCUUCCGCCUCUCAGUGCUGCAGCUAACGCAUUAAGCACUCCGCCUGGGGGAGUACGACCGCAAGG